AAGUACCCCGAGGAAAAGAAAUCAACCGAGAUUCCCCCAGUAGCGGCGAGCGAACGGGGAGGAGCCCAGAGCCUGAAUCAGUGUGUGUGUUAGUGGAAGCGUCUGGAAAGGCGCGCGAUACAGGGUGACAGCCCCGUACACAAAAAUGCACAUAUUGUGAGCUCGAUGAGUAGGGCGGGACACGUGGUAUCCUGUCUGAAUAUGGGGGGACCAUCCUCCAAGGCUAAAUACUCCUGACUGACCGAUAGUGAACCAGUACCGUGAGG
RNAcentral lists this ribosomal RNA (266 nucleotides) under Escherichia coli. Its description in RNAcentral is "partial 23S ribosomal RNA". It matches the Rfam family "Bacterial large subunit ribosomal RNA", at positions 204 to 508 of the family's 2925-position model. The record is from RNAcentral. Lineage: Bacteria; Pseudomonadati; Pseudomonadota; Gammaproteobacteria; Enterobacterales; Enterobacteriaceae.